UGGGGAAUAUUGGACAAUGGGCGAAAGCCUGAUCCAGCAAUGCCGCGUGAGUGAUGAAGGCCUUAGGGUUGUAAAGCUCUUUUACCAGGGAUGAUAAUGACAGUACCUGGAGAAUAAGCUCCGGCUAACUCCGUGCCAGCAGCCGCGGUAAUACGGAGGGAGCUAGCGUUGUUCGGAAUUACUGGGCGUAAAGCGUACGUAGGCGGUGACUCAAGUCAGAGGUGAAAGCCUGGAGCUCAACUCCAGAACUGCCUUUGAAACUAGGUCGCUAGAAUCACGGAGAGGUGAGUGGAAUUCCGAGUGUAGAGGUGAAAUUCGUAGAUAUUCGGAAGAACACCAGUGGCGAAGGCGGCUCACUGGACGUGUAUUGACGCUGGGGUACGAAAGCGUGGGGAGCAAACAGGAUUAGAUACCCUGGUAGUCCCUGAGCGGGCUGGCAAGGCGCAU
This 447-nucleotide ribosomal RNA is filed under the name uncultured bacterium. RNAcentral's name for it is "bacterial SSU rRNA". It matches the Rfam family "Bacterial small subunit ribosomal RNA", at positions 355 to 825 of the family's 1533-position model. The record is from RNAcentral.